This is a long non-coding RNA of Sarcophilus harrisii (Tasmanian devil), 538 nucleotides long. RefSeq lists it as uncharacterized. The transcript is spliced from 3 exons. NCBI's taxonomy places the organism in Eukaryota, Metazoa, Chordata, Mammalia, Dasyuromorphia, Dasyuridae. The record is from RefSeq and is a predicted model, not a curated record.
UGCUGGGGAUCAGUUGGCUGGUGCUACAUCAUCUCCCUGGAUAAUGGCAUUCCAGGAAGAUCACAUUCAGCUCCUCAUCUUGCUAGGGCCACACAAAAAUUUCUUGGGCAAAAAAGGAACACAAAAUGGAACAAACUGAAGAAUCUCUGAUCUAAACCUAUUUGCAUUUUGUGGGGAAUAACAAGAUGAUAAUGAGAGCAGCUAGGAUUUCUACAGCUUUUUAAGGUGUGAUGCUAAGACCUGAAGAUAAAAAGACAAACAUGAAGCAGUCUCUGCCCCCAUGGAGCUUAAAGAUCAGCCUAAAAAGGAUCAUCUUAUAUUUCCUUAUAUCUGUGGCCAAAGAAAUGCACAUAAUUCAAAUGCCUACUUUCUCAUCUCUACAGAAUCUCUGAAAAUGCCCUAAAUUGGGAAUGAGUGUAGCCCUGAUGAGAAGAGAAAGAAGCCCUCAUUAUCACUCAAUGGAUUGAAAUGUAUAGAUGAUUCCAUCGUACUUAUAGACUUUAAAAUCAGCACUUUACUAAACAGAAAUAAGGUUCAC